UACGAAGGGGGCUAGCGUUGCUCGGAAUCACUGGGCGUAAAGCGCACGUAGGCGGCUUUUUAAGUCAGGGGUGAAAUCCUGGAGCUCAACUCCAGAACUGCCUUUGAUACUGAGAAGCUUGAGUCCGGGAGAGGUGAGUGGAACUGCGAGUGUAGAGGUGAAAUUCGUAGAUAUUCGCAAGAACACCAGUGGCGAAGGCGGCUCACUGGCCCGGUACUGACGCUGAGACACGAAGGCCAGGGGAGCAAACGGG
This 253-nucleotide ribosomal RNA is filed under the name uncultured bacterium. Its description in RNAcentral is "partial 16S ribosomal RNA". It matches the Rfam family "Bacterial small subunit ribosomal RNA", at positions 524 to 776 of the family's 1533-position model. The record is from RNAcentral.